This is a long non-coding RNA of Sebastes umbrosus (honeycomb rockfish), 459 nucleotides long. RefSeq lists it as uncharacterized. The transcript has 3 exons. Lineage: Eukaryota; Metazoa; Chordata; Actinopteri; Perciformes; Sebastidae. The record is from RefSeq and is a predicted model, not a curated record.
CCAUCCAUAUUGAUGGCAGCGGGUGAUUUAUAUUGCCAGGACCAGCAUCCAAUGGCAGCGCCUGUUGAUCAAUCAAACCUAAUCUGAUUGGAUGGAAUCCUUAAAGAACAGCCAGAUGGGAGCCAUCAGAGUCAGUCUGUCCACUGCAGCCUCUGAUUCACUUCCUGUUCCCAGAAGGCCUCUCUCUGGGCGCUGAAGGAUGAUGCUGCACCACAGAGCUGGACCAGAUAGAUCCGGACUGUAAUAAAUCCAUCCAACCACUCCACUCGGCCUGGAUGAAAUGAUGGCUACCUGCCUGUCCACCUACCUUAUUCACUCAUUGUGUAUCACCGGAGUCUUCCACAAGCUAGUGACGACGACCACCAGGCCAUCAGUCUCAGACCUUCAUCCUGCCAACUCCAGCCAGGAGGGUCUGCAGGACACCGUGUAGCCACGCUGGAGUCACUGAAAGCUGGCUUG